This 253-nucleotide ribosomal RNA is filed under the name uncultured bacterium. Its description in RNAcentral is "partial 16S ribosomal RNA". It matches the Rfam family "Bacterial small subunit ribosomal RNA", at positions 524 to 776 of the family's 1533-position model. The record is from RNAcentral.
UACGUAGGGCGCAAGCGUUGUCCGGAAUUAUUGGGCGUAAAGAGCUCGUAGGCGGUUUGUCGCGUCUGCUGUGAAAACCUAAGGCUCAACCUUGGGCUUGCAGUGGGUACGGGCAGACUAGAGUGCGGUAGGGGUGACUGGAAUUCCUGGUGUAGCGGUGGAAUGCGCAGAUAUCAGGAGGAACACCGAUGGCGAAGGCAGGUCUCUGGGCCGCAACUGACGCUGAGGAGCGAAAGCAUGGGGAGCGAACAGG